GACGAACGCUGGCGGCGUGCUUAACACAUGCAAGUCGAACGAAGAGCGAUGGAAGCUUGCUUCUAUCAAUUUUAGUGGCGAACGGGUGAGUAACGCGUAAUCAACCUGCCCUUCAGAGGGGGACAACAGUUGGAAACGACUGCUAAUACCGCAUACGAUCCAAUCUCGGCAUCGAGACUGGAUGAAAGGUGGCCUCUAUUUAUAAGCUAUCACUGAAGGAGGGGAUUGCGUCUGAUUAGCUAGUUGGAGGGGUAACGGCCCACCAAGGCGAUGAUCAGUAGCCGGUCUGAGAGGAUGAACGGCCACAUUGGGACUGAGACACGGCCCAG
RNAcentral lists this ribosomal RNA (329 nucleotides) under uncultured bacterium. Its description in RNAcentral is "bacterial SSU rRNA". It matches the Rfam family "Bacterial small subunit ribosomal RNA", at positions 28 to 334 of the family's 1533-position model. The record is from RNAcentral.